AUUGAACGCUGGCGGCAUGCCUUACACAUGCAAGUCGAGCGGCAGCGCGGGGGCAACCCUGGCGGCGAGCGGCGAACGGGUGAGUAAUACAUCGGAACGUGUCCUGUCGUGGGGGAUAACCAGUCGAAAGAUUGGCUAAUACCGCAUGACCUCGUAAGAGAAAAGCGGGGGAUCGCAAGACCUCGCGCGAUUGGAGCGGCCGAUGUCGGAUUAGCUAGUUGGCGGGGUAAAAGCCCACCAAGGCGACGAUCCGUAGCCGGUUUGAGGGAACGACAAGCCACACUGGGACUGGGAGACGGCCCAGACUCCUACGGGAGGCGGCAGUGGGGAAUUUUGGACAAUGGGGGCAACCCUGAUCCAGCCAUGCCGCGUGUGUGAAGAAGGCCUUCGGGUUGUAAAGCACUUUCGGCCGGAACGAAAUCGCGCGGGUGAACAUCCCGCGUGGAUGACGGUACCGGAAGAAGAAGCACCGGCUAACUACGUGCCAGCAGCCGCCGUAA
Molecule: ribosomal RNA, 500 nt
Filed under: uncultured bacterium
Lineage: Bacteria
Description: partial 16S ribosomal RNA
Rfam family: Bacterial small subunit ribosomal RNA
Source: RNAcentral